Phascolarctos cinereus (koala) is the source of this 612-nucleotide non-coding RNA. The record is from the annotation of a RefSeq genome assembly. NCBI's taxonomy places the organism in Eukaryota, Metazoa, Chordata, Mammalia, Diprotodontia, Phascolarctidae.
UUCUGUCUUCACUUCAUGUCGAAUGGUGAGGACCCCAGAUGAGGAAUGAGCCCAAAGGUUAUAAAAUCAAUCUGAGAACAAAAAAAAGGGGGGGGAGGAUUUGCUUAAGAUUAGGAACAUUGGCCAUUGAAUCUGCCUUCUACAUCCUUCUCCUUGGGAGAGAAGGACCAGUUCCAGGGCAGGACGUAUUAUUUCUCCACAAUCUGCUUCCCCACGGCUGGAUCAGCCAUGAUCUCUGCUCCCACCUCAGUGAUCGGGAUUCUGUUACUAUUUGGGGGCACUUACGGAGAUUCAGUGACCCAGCCGGAAGGACACAUCACCCUCCCUGAGGGAGCACGGCUCACACUGGACUGUUCUUAUCAGACCAGUGGAGCACCUUAUCUCUUCUGGUAUAUCCAGUAUCCCAAUGAAGCUCUCAAGCUCCUCCUGAAAGAGACAUCAGGAAAAGACCAGGAGAAGGACAACAAUGGAUUUUGGGCCACAAAGAUUAAGGAAAAGUCUUUCUUCCACCUGGAGAAAACUUCAGUCCAAAUGGGAGAUGCUGCUGUGUACUAUUGUGUUCUGAGUGACACAGUGAUGGGGACUGCAGGGGGAGCUGAACACAAACUCUGA